UGAAAUCCAGGUCCUUUUAAUUGAAAUGGUAAUUUACAAAACCUGUCCUAGCUCAUAGUGUCCUCCCUGACACUCUGGUCACCCUACAGUUACAGCUAGUGUUUUCGUCAACGAAAUUUUUGACGAAAUAUCUUCGUCAACGAACCUUUUUGACGUGACGGGAGACCAAACGAGACGCAACGUAAAUGCUGGUCAUGUGACGACAACUAUAACGAAAUAUAUCGUGUAAUACUGUUGACGAAUAAAAACGAGACUAAAUUUGGUUUACAAAAUAAAAACUAUAUUAAAAUGUCUCUUCAUUUUCGUUGACGAAAACGAGAUGAGACGUUAUUUCCUCUCGUUUAAUCGCGUUAUUAUUAUGCAGUACGUAUUUCUGUUGCCUGUCUCCCCCAUUCGGGCGCACAGAUAGCGGAGAAAUGCGGCCACAAAAUAUCGGGAAAAAACACCACAAACCUUAAAACCUUAAAAGACAUCAAGGCAUUCCACAAUGACAUUGAGGGGCAUUUCUCACCGAGGUCCAAAUCAGCUUUACUGCACGUCAACAGAGGACUGAGCACCGAGUUUAACGUCACACUAGAGAGUCACCAAAGAUAUGCGGCUUCAGUGCAAUUGCUGGCCCUGCCUUGAGUGCAGUCCAAAUGGACCCCCACCCGCGCCACCCCAACAUCACAACAGAAACGCCUUUGUGUUCCUGCCAGCAGCAGCAUGGAUGGAAGUGAAGGACAUUUUGUUUAACCCCCACUCCCUACCCCGAGGACCUGCAUAAAAUCAAAGAUGGGAAAACCUUAGAGGUUCAUUCUGGCAGCUACGACCUCAUUUCAUCCAAAACUAGCUGAAGCCCUGACCAAACCCUCCUCCAGAUGCUGGCCGCCUGACCACACUCACAUUUACAUGCAGAUGCUAUAUAAUGAGGCAUCACUGCAUAAUUACUUUAAAACAAACUGCUGUGAAUUACUCAGUUUCAUGCUUGAUUUUAUAUGGGAUGAGAUUACAAAUAUAUACAUAUAUAUAUAUAUAUAUCCAUCCUCCAACCACACUUCUAGGAUAGGGUUAUGGGUAUAGAAAGUAUAUAAUAUAUAAAAUAUAAUUAAAAACUAUCCAUCACAUAUGCAUACUCACAUACAUUCAGUGACAUUCAAAAAUCGGCAUAUCUGCUUUUAAUGCAUUUGUUUCUAUUUUGCUAUUCAUCUUAUAGUAAAAGGCCUCGAGGCAAUGAGGUAAUACAAAUCAAACAUUGCAGCAACCAGGAAUAUUGCAACAUCUCAAAACGUUCUCAUUUUAUUGUUAUUGUUAAUUUUAGAUUCUUCAAAACAGCCUCCUUUUUGCUUCAACGACAGCAUUGCAGACUCUUGGCGUUCUUUCAACCAGCUUCCAGAUGUAGCCACCUGGAACGCUUCUCCAACAGUCCUGAAGGAGUUUCUACACGUUCUGGGCACAAGUUGGCCACCUUGCGGUCACUCUUCAAUCCAGCUCAUCCCAAACCCCCUCCAUUGGGCUUCUGGUCAGGGGAUUGUGGGGGUCAGGUUGCCUGUCACAGCACUCCAUCUCUUUUCUUGUUCACAAGAUAGUAUAGUACUUCUGUAACCUUGCGGUGUGCUUAGGGUCUUGUGAAAACAAAUGAUUUUCUAUAGGUGUGCCCAGACUUUUGACUGGUGCUGUAUUUAUUGCAUACAAAUAAACAUACAUACGUAUUAUAUACAAUGCAAAUUCCCAUACACACAUAUUACUUUGUUGAUACCCAGCGAGAUAUAGAAUAUUCUCUGUUGCCGCUAUUAAAGCAGACAACCAGCUUUAACAGUGACACCCAACCUGUUGUUUGUAACAUAGCCGGUUUUAAGGUCCUGAUGCAUCAAAUUAACUCAACAACCCGCUUGUUCAUUUUCAUUAAAAAAGACACGAAGACAGCAUUGUGUGUUAUGGUUCACAAAACAAAAAUCCAAGAUGAUUAAUAAUAACAAUACUAUACAUAAAUAAUAAAAUCCAGCAUAUAAUUUAUUAUAUUACAAUUUAAUAACGGCAGCAGUGUGUACAUAUAAAACCUUUUAUCCAAAAAAAUUCAGUGGAUUGGGAAUAUGAGUUACUUAGUUGACGUGAUUUAAUAGUAUUAUUGACCUAUGGUACAGUCGAGUAAAUCAGGAAGAGAACAAACAAGAGCUCCCAAAGUUAUAACGCCAGGAAGAAGCUACUUUGUGAAAAGUUUUUUAAUUCAUAUUUAGCAUUCACCCUGUCAAAUGUUUAUUUGAAUAUAUAUAUGUAUUUUCUGUCCCUCUCCAGAGAGAUCUGUUCAAAAAAAAAAAAGAAAAAAACAAACUAAAACAACAAUAU
Long non-coding RNA from Paramormyrops kingsleyae, 2325 nucleotides. RefSeq lists it as uncharacterized. NCBI's taxonomy places the organism in Eukaryota, Metazoa, Chordata, Actinopteri, Osteoglossiformes, Mormyridae. The record is from RefSeq and is a predicted model, not a curated record.